Molecule: long non-coding RNA, 269 nt
Filed under: Malus domestica (apple)
Lineage: Eukaryota; Viridiplantae; Streptophyta; Magnoliopsida; Rosales; Rosaceae
Description: long non-coding RNA (MDOM_LNC003868)
Source: RNAcentral
AAAGAGAGUUCGAACAUACAUGUCAUGUAAGAACUCGAAAGUUGCAAUAUGCAAAGUAGUCCUUUGACCUGAUGCAUCAUAGAUGUCUAAUGGUUAGGUCCUUGAUCUUUGAUCAUGUCAACGGCAUUCCAUCGGAGUGUCCACGGCAUUGUUAGGGUCAAGCUAUCUAGUCAUGUAGGCAUAUGAAUGCACAAUAAGGGAUCUCUAACCUUCCAUGGUGGAAGGAGAAUACUCUAAGAUAUGAUUCUAAAGUCUUUGGCCAAAGCAUA